Oreochromis aureus is the source of this 844-nucleotide long non-coding RNA. Lineage: Eukaryota; Metazoa; Chordata; Actinopteri; Cichliformes; Cichlidae. The record is from Ensembl.
GCCGGGGACUCAUAAGGCCAGCGCACUCGACCUCUCUUCGCCAGAUUCUCAGCUAACCCUAGUUAGUGCAGGCCACCGCUGUGAUUUUGUACACGACUUGCGAACUACCUUAUCUCAUUCUGUAUCUCUCUUUCAUAGCCACGCACCAAGUUGCCAGACACGAAUCUCCACUGAAGAACAACCAUCUGGACGCUGGACCUCCUGACAGUCUCACGGGUUUCUCGCCCCAUGCAACUGCCUGCCUCCCUGCCUCAAUGCCAGGGAUUUCGGAUUUCAGACCACUCACCCAGACCACUCCACGCCACUACUGACCGCAACAGGCUGAUCUGGCGGUACUGGCUGAUGGAUGAGGAGUUCUUCUCCUUAGGGAUCAGAAUACCUCCUGCUCUUCGCCAAGCCUUUGGAAUCACUCCUUUCUGCCAUGCUACCUUCAUCAGCUUCCACAGGUUUUCUACAGGAAGAAAAGAGGCAGCAGCCCAUCUCUGAGCCAGAAGCCCACGAACAUCAUGAGGAACCUGACGACACUGAACAAAAUCCCAGACCCCCUCUCAUACCAGCCAAGAUGAGGAAGUCGUGUGGGCUAACAGACUUGCUUGGUCAGACUUAUAGUGAUGUUGGAGCCCCACCAAAAUCAUUAUCUGCCACAGCUGAGGAGGAGGUGAAAAGAUACCAGGAGGUCACGCCACUGGCACUCACAGAAGACCCACUAAGCUGGUGGAAAUACCAUGAACAAGUCUAUGCUUUCCUGGCCACGCUGGCAAAAAGAUACCUUUGCAUCCCAGCAUGUCUUUCAUCCUGUUUUCCUUCUCUCACCCCAACCGGUCGCAGCAGAUGGCCCCGCCCC